AAAAGCUUUCUUUAAUUGAAUAAUUGAAUUUAAUUUUUUAGUGCAAAAGCAAAAAUAAAAAUUAGGGACAAGAAGACCCUAUGAAUUUUUUAUUAAAUUUUAUAAAACUUUAUAUAAAAUUUAAUUUAAUUGGGGUGAUGGAAAAAGAAUAAAUAUCUUUUUUUUAAAAAAAAAAUUGGUUCCGUUUUUAGCGAUUAAAUGAAAAAAAUACUCUAGGGAUAACAGCGUAAUAAUUUUGGAUAGUUCAUAUAGAUAAAAUAGUUUGCGACCUCGAUGUUGGAUUAGGAUUCUUUUUUGGUGAAGAAGUUAAAAAAAGAAGUUUGUUCAACUUAUAAUUUCCUACUUGAUCUGAGUUCAGACCGG
Molecule: ribosomal RNA, 363 nt
Filed under: Ixodes ricinus (castor bean tick)
Lineage: Eukaryota; Metazoa; Arthropoda; Arachnida; Ixodida; Ixodidae
Description: partial 16S ribosomal RNA
Rfam family: Bacterial large subunit ribosomal RNA (bases 218-363)
Source: RNAcentral